GGGGAAUUUGCGGCGUGCUAUACAUGCAAGUCGAACGAACUCUGGUAUUGAUUGGUGCUUGCAUCAUGAUUUACAUUUGAGUGAGUGGCGAACUGGUGAGUAACACGUGGGAAACCUGCCCAGAAGCGGGGGAUAACACCUGGAAACAGAUGCUAAUACCGCAUAACAACUUGGACCGCAUGGUCCGAGUUUGAAAGAUGGCUUCGGCUAUCACUUUUGGAUGGUCCCGCGGCGUAUUAGCUAGAUGGUGGGGUAACGGCUCACCAUGGCAAUGAUACGUAGCCGACCUGAGAGGGUAAUCGGCCACAUUGGGACUGAGACACGGCCCAAACUCCUACGGGAGGCAGCAGUAGGGAAUCUUCCACAAUGGACGAAAGUCUGAUGGAGCAACGCCGCGUGAGUGAAGAAGGGUUUCGGCUCGUAAAACUCUGUUGUUAAAGAAGAACAUAUCUGAGAGUAACUGUUCAGGUAUUGACGGUAUUUAACCAGAAAGCCACGGCUAACUACGUGCCAGCAGCCGCGGUAAUACGUAGGUGGCAAGCGUUGUCCGGAUUUAUUGGGCGUAAAGCGAGCGCAGGCGGUUUUUUAAGUCUGAUGUGAAAGCCUUCGGCUCAACCGAAGAAGUGCAUCGGAAACUGGGAAACUUGAGUGCAGAAGAGGACAGUGGAACUCCAUGUGUAGCGGUGAAAUGCGUAGAUAUAUGGAAGAACACCAGUGGCGAAGGCGGCUGUCUGGUCUGUAACUGACGCUGAGGCUCGAAAGUAUGGGUAGCAAACAGGAUUAGAUACCCUGGUAGUCCAUACCGUAAACGAUGAAUGCUAAGUGUUGGAGGGUUUCCGCCCUUCAGUGCUGCAGCUAACGCAUUAAGCAUUCCGCCUGGGGAGUACGGCCGCAAGGCUGAAACUCAAAGGAAUUGACGGGGGCCCGCACAAGCGGUGGAGCAUGUGGUUUAAUUCGAAGCUACGCGAAGAACCUUACCAGGUCUUGACAUACUAUGCAAAUCUAAGAGAUUAGACGUUCCCUUCGGGGACAUGGAUACAGGUGGUGCAUGAUGUCGUCAGCUCGUGUCGUGAGAUGUUGGGUAAGUCCCGCACGAGCGCACCCUUAUUAUCAGUUGCCAGCAUAAGUUGGGCACUUCUGUG
RNAcentral lists this ribosomal RNA (1142 nucleotides) under Lactiplantibacillus plantarum. RNAcentral's name for it is "bacterial SSU rRNA". It matches the Rfam family "Bacterial small subunit ribosomal RNA", at positions 28 to 1145 of the family's 1533-position model. The record is from RNAcentral. Lineage: Bacteria; Bacillati; Bacillota; Bacilli; Lactobacillales; Lactobacillaceae.